GACGAACGCUGGCGGCGUGCUUAACACAUGCAAGUCGAGCGGUAAGGCCCUUUCGGGGGUACACGAGCGGCGAACGGGUGAGUAACACGUGGGUGACCUGCCCUCAGCUCUGGGAUAAGCCUGGGAAACCGGGUCUAAUACUGGAUAUGACUCCAUGACGCAUGUUGUGGGGUGGAAAGCCUUGUGCGGCUGAGGAUGGGCCCGCGGCCUAUCAGCUUGUUGGUGGGGUGAUGGCCUACCAAGGCGACGACGGGUAGCCGGCCUGAGAGGGCGACCGGCCACACUGGGACUGAGACACGGCCCAGACUCCUACGGGAGGCAGCAGUGGGGAAUCCUGCGCAAUGGGCGAAAGCCUGACGCAGCGACGCCGCGUGAGGGAUGACGGCCUCGG
This 391-nucleotide ribosomal RNA is filed under the name uncultured bacterium. RNAcentral describes it as "bacterial SSU rRNA". It matches the Rfam family "Bacterial small subunit ribosomal RNA", at positions 28 to 420 of the family's 1533-position model. The record is from RNAcentral.